RNAcentral lists this ribosomal RNA (534 nucleotides) under uncultured delta proteobacterium. RNAcentral describes it as "bacterial SSU rRNA". It matches the Rfam family "Bacterial small subunit ribosomal RNA", at positions 8 to 524 of the family's 1533-position model. The record is from RNAcentral. Lineage: Bacteria; Deltaproteobacteria.
AGAGUUUGAUUCUGGCUCAGAAUGAACGCUGGCGGCGUGCCUAACACAUGCAAGUCGUACGAGAAAGGGGCUUCGGCCCUGAGUAGAGUGGCGCACGGGUGAGUAACGCGUGGGUAAUCUACCCUUGGAUUUGGGAUAACUUCGCGAAAGUGGAGCUAAUACCGGAUAGUCUGGCUUUAAUUGAUAAGUCGGUAAAGGAUGCCUCUGCAUAUGCAUUCGUCCAAGGAUGAGCCCGCGUCUCAUUAGCUAGUUGGUAGGGUAAUGGCCUACCAAGGCAACGAUGAGUAACUGGUCUGAGAGGAUGAUCAGUCACACUGGAACUGAAACACGGUCCAGACUCCUACGGGAGGCAGCAGUGGGGAAUAUUGCGCAAUGGGCGAAAGCCUGACGCAGCAACGCCGUGUGAGGGAUGAAGGCUUUCGGGUCGUAAACCUCUGUCAGAAGGGAAGAACGGGUAAUGGUCUAAUAGGCCGUUAUUUUGACGGUACCUUCAGAGGAAGCACCGGCUAACUCCGUGCCAGCAGCCGCGGUAAU